UUCUUGUUCAAGUGAAGAAAUUUGUUGAAAGAAAAGAGAUGGGUGAUGUGCAGUCAAUACUACCACGGGAGAUUAUUUAGGCCUGUUGCACACUGUCAAUGGUCAGAUGGUAGGAAGAUCAGAAGCUGAAAAUGUGUACAUGGGCAAAUGAUUUUCAAAGGAUCACGAUAACAUGAAUUGUUGUCGCAUUUGCUUAAAUGGUUUCAUAGAGAAUCCCAUUGACAACUAUGAGUUUUGGAUAUAUUGAGAGCUUAAUGCAGUCCUCAGAAAAGAAUUCAAGAAGCAAAGGGCACUGGCUAAAAAAGGCUCUGUAGGAUGGAAAGGUACGGCACUGAGAAAGAAGAAAUAGAUUUGCUAUCAAAGAAGCUCUUAAUAAAAGUAAUUUCGCAUUUGGAGUCGUUGAUCAUCAACUAAAGUUGUGUCUUCACGUUCCCCAACCAACCUUUCAGAAACGAAAGACGAAAGGAGUACUAAGCGAUUCAAUCGUUUUAUCAAACUUUCAUAUUUGCAACUGUGCACAGUUGAAUAUUUAUCAAUCUUGCUUAGAACUUGAAGCAUAAAAUUGCCUUAACAGGUUUGAUAGAGUGGAAUCUUUAAAAAAACAAUCGAAAAUGGAAAGUGCUGGUUGCCAUCUCCAGAUGUUUCUGAACCAGAGCAUUUAGGGAGGACACGGGAUCUAAAGCAUAGUGAUGCAAUCUCUUUUGAAGAGAGAAAAAAUAACCAUAUAUUGUUUUUCAGAUAUGAAAGUAGGCACGACAAAAACGUUGAUAUGGAAGCUGUUCAUCUGUUUAGAUAGAUCCACAUAAGUUUAAUCUCUUUAUAUAAGUUG
Molecule: long non-coding RNA, 829 nt
Organism: Papaver somniferum (opium poppy)
Lineage: Eukaryota; Viridiplantae; Streptophyta; Magnoliopsida; Ranunculales; Papaveraceae
Exons: 4
Source: RefSeq, a predicted model, not a curated record